RNAcentral lists this ribosomal RNA (721 nucleotides) under Kocuria sp. RNAcentral's name for it is "bacterial SSU rRNA". It matches the Rfam family "Bacterial small subunit ribosomal RNA", at positions 95 to 827 of the family's 1533-position model. The record is from RNAcentral. Lineage: Bacteria; Bacillati; Actinomycetota; Actinomycetes; Micrococcales; Micrococcaceae.
GUGGCGAACGGGUGAGUAAUACGUGAGUAACCUGCCCUUGACUCUGGGAUAAGCCUGGGAAACUGGGUCUAAUACUGGAUAUGACCUCCUGUCGCAUGGUGGGGGGUGGAAAGGGUUUGUACUGGUUGUGGAUGGGCUCACGGCCUAUCAGCUUGUUGGUGGGGUAAUGGCCUACCAAGGCGACGACGGGUAGCCGGCCUGAGAGGGUGACCGGCCACACUGGGACUGAGACACGGCCCAGACUCCUACGGGAGGCAGCAGUGGGGAAUAUUGCACAAUGGGCGCAAGCCUGAUGCAGCGACGCCGCGUGAGGGAUGACGGCCUUCGGGUUGUAAACCUCUUUCAGCACGGAAGAAGCGAAAGUGACGGUACGUGCAGAAGAAGCGCCGGCUAACUACGUGCCAGCAGCCGCGGUAAUACGUAGGGCGCAAGCGUUGUCCGGAAUUAUUGGGCGUAAAGAGCUCGUAGGCGGUUUGUCGCGUCUGCUGUGAAAGCCCGGGGCUUAACCCCGGGUGUGCAGUGGGUACGGGCAGACUUGAGUGCAGUAGGGGAGACUGGAACUCCUGGUGUAGCGGUGAAAUGCGCAGAUAUCAGGAAGAACACCGAUGGCGAAGGCAGGUCUCUGGGCUGUUACUGACGCUGAGGAGCGAAAGCAUGGGGAGCGAACAGGAUUAGAUACCCUGGUAGUCCAUGCCGUAAACGUUGGGCACUAGGUGUGGGG